AGAGUUUGAUCCUGGCUCAGGAUGAACGCUAGCGGCAGGCCUAACACAUGCAAGUCGAGGGGCAGCACAAAAGAAGCUUGCUUCUUUGGUGGCGACCGGCGCACGGGUGAGUAACGCGUAUGCAACUUACCCCUGACUGGAGAAUAGCCCAGAGAAAUCUGGAUUAAUACCCCAUAAUAUUAUCGAAUCGCAUGGUUUGAUAAUUAAAGUUCCGGCGGUACAGGAUGGGCAUGCGUCCUAUUAGCUAGUUGGUGAGGUAACGGCUCACCAAGGCAACGAUAGGUAGGGGUCCUGAGAGGGUUAUCCCCCACACUGGUACUGAGACACGGACCAGACUCCUACGGGAGGCAGCAGUGAGGAAUAUUGGGCAAUGGACGCAAGUCUGACCCAGCCAUGCCGCGUGCAGGAAGACGGUCCUCUGGAUUGUAAACUGCUUUUAUAUGGGAAGAAACCCCUCUACGUGUAGAGGACUGACGGUACCAUACGAAUAAGGACCGGCUAACUCCGUGCCAGCAGCCGCGGUAAUACGGAGGGUCCAAGCGUUAUCCGGAUUCAUUGGGUUUAAAGGGUCCGCAGGUGGAAAGAUAAGUCAGUGGUGAAAUCCCAUGGCUCAACCAUGGAAUUGCCAUUGAUACUGUUUUUCUUGAGUAUGUUUGAAGUGGGCGGAAUGUGUCAUGUAGCGGUGAAAUGCAUAGAGAUGACACAGAACACCAAUUGCGAAGGCAGCUCACUAAGUCAUUACUGACGCUAAUGCACGAAAGCGUGGGGAGCGAACAGGAUUAGAUACCCUGGUAGUCCACGCCGUAAACGAUGAUUACUCGACAUUGGCGAUAAACUGUCAGUGUCCAAGCGAAAGUGUUAAGUAAUCCACCUGGGGAGUACGAUCGCAAGGUUGAAACUCAAAGGAAUUGACGGGGGCCCGCACAAGCGGUGGAGCAUGUGGUUUAAUUCGAUGAUACGCGAGGAACCUUACCAGGACUUAAAUGUUUUCUGACAGGCUGGGAAACCAGUUUUUCUUCGGACAGAUUACAAGGUGCUGCAUGGCCGUCGUCAGCUCGUGCCGUGAGGUGUCGGGUUAAGUCCCAUAACGAGCGCAACCCCUAUCUUUAGUUGCUAACAGGUUAAGCUGAGGACUCUAGAGAAACUGCCAGCGUAAGCUGCGAGGAAGGUGGGGAUGACGUCAAAUCAUCACGGCCCUUACGUCCUGGGCCACACACGUGCUACAAUGGUCGGUACAGAGGGCAGCUACCCCGCGAGGGGAUGCGAAUCUCGAAAGCCGGUCUCAGUUCGGAUCGAAGUCUGCAACUCGACUUCGUGAAGCUGGAAUCGCUAGUAAUCGCGCAUCAGCCAUGGCGCGGUGAAUACGUUCCCGGGCCUUGUACACACCGCCCGUCAAGCCAUGGAAGUUGGGGGUGCCUGAAGCCGGUGACCGCAAGGAGCUGUCUAGGGCAAAACCAAUGACUGGGGCUAAGUCGUAACAAGGUA
Molecule: ribosomal RNA, 1485 nt
Filed under: uncultured prokaryote
Description: partial 16S ribosomal RNA
Rfam family: Bacterial small subunit ribosomal RNA
Source: RNAcentral